UAUGAUGAUGAUAAUGAGAUGAGAGAUGCC
This 30-nucleotide non-coding RNA is filed under the name Rattus norvegicus (Norway rat). The record is from RNAcentral. Lineage: Eukaryota; Metazoa; Chordata; Mammalia; Rodentia; Muridae.